AGCAGACAGAAAGUCUGAGACAAUAGCCAUGCUACACUGAUUCCUGCUUCAUCCUAGUGAUGUUUACCCAGGCACUAGUUACAGUACUUUAAAUAUCAGCAUUGUUAAUUAUUUCCUUACACAUCAGAACAUAUUUUGGAAAUGUGUAAUAGGAAGGGAUGCAAGAAAGCAGAAAUCAGUGUUCUGAGUUUUAUGAAGCUUUUGUCAAAGAGCCAUAAAAAAUUAUCAACAGCAUGAGAAACAUCAGGCUAGAAGAUCUCCAGCAACAGUUCAUAGAAAAGAGCAAAGAAGAUGACAAGAUAUCUGACACCAACAUGAGAACACUUAAAAGAUCGUUUAGUUCACAUGGUUAACAUGCAAACUUGAUUUUGAUUGCAGUUUCAUGAUGUGCAACAGGUGAUGUACUACCAGACAGAUAUGUCCAAGUUUGGAGAGAGAUACACGGGAGAAGAACUCACCCUGGCAAGGUUUUAUUCACCUACACAAAAGCACGUCAAAAAGGACGUCAAAGCAUUACAGAGGUUUCUGCAGCAGCUGAUUGAACUACCAACAUUUUGAGGCAAGACUGCAAGUUCAUAUUUGUUUGUGGUGUUUCUUUUUGUGCCUUGGGAGAAAAAAAAUGAAAAAAUUUGUAUUGUGGAUAAAGUUGACUCUCCCACAGUCCCAUGAGAACAUGUUUUAUGUGUGCUCCAAGUUUUAACAUAAUUUCAACCCUCUGUGUUCAAAUGCUUUUGCCUUCUUCCCUUUAUUGUUGAAUUACUUCCAAGUCUCCACCCUUCUUUCUAAGAUAAUAUGCCAUUUGAGCAAAGAGGUCUGUACUAUUUUCAGUCAAAGGAAUCACACUCUUCCACACAGGCCAACUUCAUUUAAGGCAAUCAAGACUCAUAAAUUAUGAAGCAUGUAAUUGACAUGUAUGCAAUUUACACGUAUGUAAUUUACAUGUAUGACUUUUAUUUUCAUUCUAUUAAAAGCAGUAUGAAAGGCCUGUGGUCCUGAACAUCCUAUAAAUAAAGGGCUCCUACCUGUCUUCCCUGCACCCCUCAAAAGGUAAAAAUUACUAGGAAAGCAAUAGUGUUUCCCAAACAUGCUAAACUGCCUAAUGAAAGGUAAAGAUCUGUCUGCACUAUCUAUGGGUAUGGUUUUCUCUUGCCUGAGAGUAGGGGCUGAAAUCCCAAAGAAUUCUUAGGAUUGAAAGCUAUAGGAAAACUGUAUACUUUCUCCACAAUUACACUAAAAGAACAGGACGUAAGAAGGCAGAGUGUAAUACAGAUUUUGCUGUACACAACGUGUGAUCAUGUAAUUGCCUGUACCUCAUAAAAUUGGGUAUUAACAUCCUUUUACUUCAUGAUUUUCAAAGAAAGUUUUCAAAGAAAGGCACCCAAUUUAUUUCCUCAUCACUCUUCCUAGCAGCAUGUGAAGUUGAGGAAAGAAAGGUCAAAGGACAACCUUUCCCAGAGCUCCUACUUCUUUGAGAAAUUAUAUGGCUUCAGCUCAUUGUAGCACAUCCCAAAGCACUGAUAGUCAGAGGCUGCAGUCCCAGCUCAAAUUCUUCUGUGGGACAGUAAUGCACCUUACGCCAGAAGAAGAGGAUGCACAACAGACUAUAACAUGUUUUCUCCUGUCCCUAGUUCGACUGCCUGGCACUAGGAAACUGCACUGCAUCUCUAAUAUAAAAGUCAGCAUGAUGUAUAGAAAGUGAACAAGCAUUAUCGUCCAUGAAUUAGCUAACAAGUAAUAUAUUAUUUACUGAAUAGUUAUGCCUCAGCUGGUAACAGUCACCUUCAAAGAUCUAUACAGAUAAAAUGUUGCUGAGUUACAGAAACUGUAACACUGAUCCUCCUGAGUAGAAAAAAAAAAAAAAAAUGUAUAGGAUGUAGGAACCAACUCAGUCUUGUUGCAUUUCUUCACAUUAUCUAGAUACCACAUUAAGAAAUAUACCAAACAGAAUAAACCCAUGUUGAUAGAAAGAGGUCUUAUGUUGCAGCUGGAAUUUCUGCAGUCAAAUAUGUGAAGUUUCUGAGAGACAGACAACAGCAGUCUUUGAAAGACAAAGAGAUAACAUUUGUUUCUGAAAGACAAAUGGAUAGUAUUGUUAUAUAAUAUUGUCUCUUUUUCCAUUUAAUUGAGGAACUUUUUUUUUUUUAAUGGAAAUGUACAAAACUUUUAAGUGUAAAAUCUUUAUUAUGUGUUAUUAGAAAUAACUCCUUUCUCCCACAGUAUUUUACUGGAUUUAAAUCAUUUUGUGCAGAAGAAAAAUAAACCUUCAGAGAACAUUUCAAUGUUAUAGCAGGAGAAAAAAAAAAAAAAAAAGAGAGAGAGAGAGAAAAAUCCAUACCUGUUCUUCAAACAAACCUAUUACAUCUGCAUACCUGGCUUCACUAUACAAAUAAAUCAAGUCUUCGUGUUACCAACUCUCCUCUUAGCAAUUUUCAAUACUGAAUUGUUAGCACACAUACUGCACAAUAACACCAAAGCUCUAAGAACAGAAACAGAAAGACAGUCAUUUAGAAACAAAUGCUAAAUUUUAAAUAACUAAAUUUGAAAUAAAAUUGUGGCCAUAAAUCACCAUAUUAUCCUGCACCCAGAGCCAUUUCAGCUCAAGCGCACCUGAACAAACCACACAUCCUGGCUUCCUCUGAGUCUGUAUUUCAUACCACCCCACUUACAUCGUGCCAUUGAAAAUUGCAUUGUUUAAUUUAGUUAUCAAAAUCAACCCUUUUGGCUCAUUGUUAAUUUUUCAACACUUGCCAGUCCUGUUAAUGGUCUGUGGUGUGCUUAACUUACACACCACUGUUCUGUGCAUAGCAUAUAUACACACUGAAAGCAGAGUUAUUUUUGAAAGAUUAUAGUAUUACCACAAUGUUAUAGGAAAACUGAAGUAUACUAGUGUCAUUUUAGAACUGGUCUGGUCAUACAGAAAAAAUCAUCCCUUGAGAGAACACACAACAUUUGAUGGACAGAAUCUCACUGCUGAUUUAGUACAUUAUGGAUGUCUGCUCAGAAAAUAA
This 3008-nucleotide long non-coding RNA is filed under the name Gallus gallus (chicken). RNAcentral describes it as "lncRNA (ENSGALG00010017309.1)". The record is from RNAcentral. Lineage: Eukaryota; Metazoa; Chordata; Aves; Galliformes; Phasianidae.